CAUGCGAGAGUAAGAGGUGGGGAGCUUAUUAGUGCUGUGGAUAACAUACAGAGACUGGGACAUUUCACCGAAAAAUGAAUGACAGGCUUGGUCAGUUGACAGAGAACUCUGUCAAUUCAUGUAAAACUAUUGAAUUUAUAUAAAUAUGGGAUAUAUGACAUAUAAGCUGUUUAUAACUUUAAAACCGUGCUAAGAAAGCCUAUAGUAAGAAGGAUAUAUCCCCACUUAACUUCUUCCUAGCAGCCCCUGCUGUCUCACUUCUCAGAGACACUCUUGAAUCUUAACUAACUUCAGAUUUUUACCAUCAUAAUUUUAAAACCGCGAACUUCAUUCUCCAA
RNAcentral lists this long non-coding RNA (338 nucleotides) under Bos taurus (domestic cattle). RNAcentral's name for it is "long non-coding RNA NONBTAT025767". The record is from RNAcentral. Lineage: Eukaryota; Metazoa; Chordata; Mammalia; Artiodactyla; Bovidae.